This 87-nucleotide transfer RNA is filed under the name Candidatus Uhrbacteria bacterium. Its description in RNAcentral is "tRNA-Leu". It matches the Rfam family "tRNA". Rfam says of the family: Transfer RNA (tRNA) molecules are approximately 80 nucleotides in length. Their secondary structure includes four short double-helical elements and three loops (D, anti-codon, and T loops). Further hydrogen bonds mediate the characteristic L-shaped molecular structure. tRNAs have two regions of fundamental functional importance: the anti-codon, which is responsible for specific mRNA codon recognition, and the 3' end, to which the tRNAs corresponding amino acid is attached (by aminoacyl-tRNA synthetases). tRNAs cope with the degeneracy of the genetic code in two manners: having more than one tRNA (with a specific anti-codon) for a particular amino acid; and 'wobble' base-pairing, i.e. permitting non-standard base-pairing at the 3rd anti-codon position. Lineage: Bacteria; Candidatus Uhriibacteriota. The record is from RNAcentral.
GGGCGAGUGGCGGAAUUGGUAGACGCACUGGUUUCAGGUACCAGCGAUCGCAAGGUCAUGAGAGUUCGAUUCUCUCCCCGCCCACCA